Molecule: long non-coding RNA, 15543 nt
Organism: Meriones unguiculatus (Mongolian gerbil)
Lineage: Eukaryota; Metazoa; Chordata; Mammalia; Rodentia; Muridae
Exons: 10
Source: RefSeq, a predicted model, not a curated record
CAGUGGACUAUGAAUCCUCCCCUAAAAGGCUGGGGGUCUUUGUGGAAGAGCCGCCACCCAGCACGAGCUUUUUGAGUAUGCAGAACACAUCAGCUCAGCCUGAAGCUGGCAGUUAGUGCACACACACACACACACACACACACACACACACACACACCAGUGCUCUCCCCUCAAGUGAAACAGCAUUAGCAAUCGCAUCUCCAGCUUCCUGAGCUGAGACCAGCAGCACUGCCUGAUGUAUUGGAGGAGCAAGAGGAGAGCAGUUUCGGAGGCACGGCUAACAGAGAGCUGCCACAUCCAGUUGCAGACAGCCACUUCUUCCCAGCUGUUUUCCUGCUGUCAAGAAGGCACCAAUUCCAAAAGCCGGUCAGCUUGAGGAGGUGUCUGCGUGGUGCUUCAGGUAAAACCAGUUUCUAGCUGUUCUCUUUUCUCACCAGCCAGCCACCUAACCUCCUUACAGGAUGAAUUUUGUUCAAAAAUGAAUGCUGAGAUAAACACCGACUGAUCACCCCAGGUAGCUGUCUCAAAACAUCAAUCUAUUGAUUUUCACUGCAUGGGGUGAAGAAGAAACCACCAAAUCAGAUAAGUCAGCCCUGCCGCUGGACUGACCGUGCUGGGCAGGCAACGCUGCACGAGACGCUGUUUCUGUGGUGGAGCCAGGUGAUGGUCUGAAACUUAAUCUUUUCUUUCGUUGAAAGGGUAAAAAGUAUCACCGGAGACAGAUGGAAUGAAGUUGCUCUUCUUGGACAUUGAUGGGCUUGUCUAAUUAAGGGCAUGCUUUCAUUGAGUUUGACUCUUCAGUGUGUCCAUCUACCCAGAUAACUGCUGAUGUUGACUCUGAGCUUCAGCAGUUUUGAAUGACUGACACCUCCCUACUCACCCCUGGGACGUAUUUCCUGCAGGAUUGUGGCAAACUAGUAUUUCAGGUUCCCUUGGCAACCCUGGUGCCGUGUCUCCUGAGAACUGUGCCUCUCCAGGACCUCAGAAGACCUGACUUCUGGAUGGACAAUCUGAGACUGAGAGAGGGCUAGUGAGUUCCUGGACACUUGGGCAGUAGCAUUACUUACAGAGGGGCCCUCUGAAAGUUCUUGCAUAUUCAUGAGGCUCCAGCACACACCAGGAGCUUGGAGCAAGAAGACAGGAGUCUGCAAGGGCUAUGUUGCCUCUUCAAGAACAAAGGCUUUGUCGGUUUACCACUCUGGGAAGAUUGCCAAGCUCCGGUAUUAAUAAUAAUCCCUUUGUAUUUUAAAUGCCUUAUAAUUGCAUAAAUAAAGCAUACUUUCUCUUCUUCAAUGGUAAUGAGCCUUAUUUGACUGAUUGGUUGAUUAAUAACACUCUAAUUCCUUCAAUGACAAAACACAAAGGCCAAAAGAUGGAUGGAGAGUUUCAGUGGUUUGGGAUGAGAGAACCAUUCUGGCGGGAUUCUGCAGCUGCCUGGGCAGCUCAGGGAGAAGGAAGUGGCAGCAGGCUUUCCUCACAGGUACUGGUUGAUAAGCCAGGGAUGUAGUCAACAGCAGGAAAAGAGUUCCUGCUUUUCCAGCUGAGCUAUCACGGACACUGUUGACUCCACGUUAUGUUAGGUGAAUUCCCUGAAGACCUAUGGGAGAGAUGUCUGUGGCUUUGUUGAUGGCAGCCCUUGCCCUGGAUUACUGGAUUUAGACAUUUGAAAUCGUUAAACCAAUCCAAGCAAAUCAUAUUUACUGCUUCAUAUUUGUCUCUGAGAAACUCGGAGUCAGCCGUGUCUUACCUGCAACAGGUGUUAGGUUCCUGUACCAUAGUCAAUCACAUUUGUGGAUCGUCAACUGUCUACAUGGGCUCUUAGUGCCUUCAUUCUGGCAAGCAACAUGGUCCUGCAAACACAAGGGCGUAGAAAUCAUUCUUGUUCAUAGAGUGAUGCUUUUACAUGCCCACAGCAAUAGAAUCCUAGGUAUCUGAAAAGACACCCCUUGUUCUUUGUCAUUGCUGUUUUCAGACCCAGAGAGUGAACUGCGCCCAGAGGCCACCUUUGAUUUGGCUGUGAACCUGGCUUUCCUUUCCUGAGCUCAUCAAAGCCCCUGCUUCGUGAUUAGUCAGGAAUCACAAGGUUAGAUGAGAGCUCCAGUGAGGGAGGUGGUGUGAGCAGCUUUCACUGUCUUGCAGCAGUCCAAGACAGAGGCCCACAUGAGGCUUUUGUGGAUUACCUGCCUCCUGCCAACAGGCCUCUGACUGACAGUAGGAUAUGGGAGUGAGGAAGGGACACAUCCUAGCUUCCUGUCCUCCUCUUUCCAACAAGUCUAUUUUGCUGGUCAGGUGAUGAGGGCAAAUUGGGGAUGUAGAAAGGCAGAAGGGAACUUGUCUGCAUGACAUCCUCACUUGAAUUCCCAGGAUUGCAUAAACCAGCUGUUGUGGUCCAGGGUUGUUAUCCCAGUAUUCUGGAGGCAGUGGCAGGAAGAUGAGAAGUCCAAAGCUGUCCUUAGCUACAAAGUGAAUUCGAGAACCCAUGAAAGAAUGAUCUUACUGGCUUGUUCCUUGUGGAUAUGGAUACCCCAGAAUAUAUAUGUGUGUAGAGAGAGAUAUACAUAUACAUACAUAUAUAUGUAUACAUACAUACAAAAUACAUAUAUACAGGUCAUAGUAAUUUAAUCAUAUACAUAUGAAUGUUAUAUUUUAUAUAUAUAUACAUAUAUCCCAGGAUAACUACCCACAAUGAACUGGGUCCUCCUAAAUCAUUUAUUAAAUCGAGACAAUGACCCCAAAGCCUAGCUUGCAGAAAAUCUGAUGGAGGUGUUUUCUCAACUGAGGCUCCUUCUUUCUCUCUGACUCUAGCUUGUAUUAAGUUGUCAAAAACCUAACCAACACACCAUCUAUAUUAGUUAUCUCUAUGUAUCGUCACAUUUGCUCUACCAUGAUUUUCUUCCAUGUACUUCUUGUCGAUCCUAUUAUAUUGCUGAGAUUCUCAAGACUCAGAGAUGUUCAGGAACUUGUCCAAGAUCACACAUCCAGCCUGGGAUUAGGAGAGAUAGAGAUCUGAACCCUGGACUCCAUUUAUAUCCAGUACACUAAUGUGCUUCUUCAAGUGACUAUUGCCUCAGUGUGUCCCAUGCUCAAGUUUAAAUACUUCUGAGGGUUCUGUCUUGAGGUCUCAUUCCCACCAUAUCUGUUCUUGGUGUCUGAAAAAAAUCGAGGGUGGAAAUGAAUCUUCGAAGCCAAGAAGGUAGAGGAGGAACAAGCAGUUUACGCUUACAAAAUUUGUUUUUAAUUCUAGCUACAAGUCAUAGUAAUUUAAUCAUCAGAGCUGGCGCCCCUUUCCUUGGGAACUUCCUGCCCUGAGCCAGGUGAUUUUUUGUUUGUUUUUCUUGAAUCUGGUGAUUUUCAAAGAAAGUUCUAGACUGGGCUGUUCACACCCAUGGCUGGCAUCAGGAGCACAGUGUGUGAAGAAACACAGAGGGACAGAGGGACGUUGAGCUCUGCCCCAACAGCCUCUUCUCUGCUCUCUUGGAAGCCCAGGGAGGUAGGCAUGGUUUCCUGCAUGGGAAAACUGAGCCUGGGGCUUCUGAGAGUCAAGGCAGACCUGCCAGGCCCAGCAUGGCGCCACAUCUGCAGGCAUGGCUGAGGCUACUGCUUGGACACAUUUUCUUCCGAGGUGCUUCUGUCUCUAGAAACAGCCUAGUCAGAAUGCUGUUUUUUGUUUUGUUUUUUGGUUUUGUUGUAUCAGUCCAUGGAGGGCUCUGAUCACAUGUCCGUCCCACAGUUCUCUUUGAAUCCCUGUGGACCCUGAAUAGGCCUUGCUUUCAUCCAUUCCAGGGUGGUAGGAAGCUGUGUUUAGAGUGUAAGUCUUUCUUCUGAGGGAUUUGAAGGCCAGCCCCAGCUUUUGUCCCUGGGGUCAAGGAGGAAAUUUGAGAGGCUGUGGAGGAAGGAGGCGGCUGGCUUUGUUUUGUCAAGAUCUGUGCUGUGUUUUAAACAGUUUCAUCCUCAACCGGGGAACAUACUCCCACCAAAGAAAAACAGCCCAAAAAAACUGCAGCCAUCUGUGACCUGCAGCUAUAGUACACAUGCAUUCUCUUGUUCUGCCCACCCUUAUCUGUCUCUUCAUCCCCUGCCCAGCCCCUCAGGUCCCACAGACAGUAGAAAGAACUGUUCUCCAGUGGCCACUGGUCUGAUUCUGAGAAAGAGAAAGAGCUAGACAGAGGAAACUCCAUUUCUGCAGCCCAUCUGAUGAGGAAGGAGCUUUGGGAAGAGACGAGGGUAGUCUGGUCAUGAUCUGCUUUGGAUCCUGAGAAGACCCUCAGAUCUGCCUGUGUAAGGUGGGAUCCCAGGAGGGGUGAUCUGAGGGCAUCUUGAUCUUUUGCUAAUAGGACAGUUGAGUGAGGGUUCCAAAAGGCAUCCAUUGGGUCUUGGGCCCCAGGGAAGCAUGGCAGAUCUGGAAUCUCUGGAUAUUCUGACCCUCAAUCUUAAGAUACAUAGCUUCUUUAAUUUCAGUUUUUUUUCUUUUCAAAAUGGAGUUAAUCAUUUCACAGAAUGAUUAUGAAAUCCAAAAUAAUAUGUAAAAGCAUCCAUAGUAUCUUUAAAGGAAAAAACAAAAAGAUGUCUACUGAAGGGCUAUUGCUAUUUAAUUGCUGAUAAGAUUGAGGUAUAAGUAAGGCACCCAGUGUGAAAUUUAAGGAGGCACUCAGAGUCAGUAUCAUACCUCUGCAGCAGCAUACUCAAGAAUGAGUGCCACCUUAAAGCGUUAGUGGUUUUCCCCUCAGUCACUUUUAACUGGUCCCAACUAUGAGAUUAUAUAAUGCUCAAGAUCACUGAUGCUUUUAAAUGAAAUUAUAUGUUAUUACAGAUGUAUCUACCUUUACAUGAGCUUUGGGAAGAAGACACAAGUGGCCUAGGGAGGUCUGGUUCACCUUUACACUAUAAAAAGAUAUACUUCAUCUAUCUUUACAUAAUAAAAAAUGUCCGUUUGUAUGUAUGAUAUAAUGUUCAAUCCAUAGAAAAGUUUCAACCUUCCAGAGGAAGCCACAGCCCUCCAUCCACCCACUGUUGAAGGGCAAAUAAUGGCCGCCCACUCUGUCUCGAUAACCUUAGUCUUAACCAUUCUCGAACCAUAGAGAGCUGUUCAGCUAGUAGGUCUGAGAAGAAGCCAAAAGCUGAUCACAGCCCAGGGAUCUGUUCUGAAAACUGUUUCAUGCUGACCUAGUUUGGAUUGUGGUUACCUCAAGUAUAUUAAUGCACAACUGCAUAGAACAUCUCAGUUGUUUAUUUUAGAAAUCUCUUUCCACUGGGCAGUGGUGUCAUACGCCUUUAAUCCCAGUCCUAGGGAGGUCAAGUCAGGGGGAUCUCCUGAAUUUGAGGCCAGCUUCAUCUCCAAAACAAGUUCCUGGACAGCCAGGGCUACACAGAGAAAACUUGCCUCAAAAAAACAAAAACAAGGAGGAAGAGGAAAAAAAGGUAGUGGGGGAAAAUACUUUGCAUUGACUGGCACAAUGGAGUACCUAGUAGUUAUUUAAGGACUACUUGGUGAUACGGUUCAUUGGAAUAUAGGCAGGUAAAUAUAUGCAGAUACACGUGGAUGGAAGGGUGGAUUUACAACUAGACAAAUGUAGGUGAGUAGAUGGAUGGGUGAGUCAAUGAAUAAGUGGCUGGUUGGACUCAAAAAUAGAGAACAGAUGGAUGAAUAGGUAGAUGAAUGAAGAAAUAGUAGUGUGGGUUUACAGCUAUGGGAUAGGGGAUGGGGGUUGGAUGGGUAAGUAGAUGGGUGGGAAGAUUUACAAGUGGUAGGUAGAUAGGUAGGUAGGUAGAUGAAGGGAUUGACAGGUAGAUUCACAAAUGGACAUGUGAGAAAAUAAAUGAAUGGGUAGGUUGUUGGAUGGAUGGAUGAGUAGAUUUAUGAGUAGAUAGAAAAGAGGGUGGAUAGGUGGGUGAGUAAAUGUAUGGAUGGGUAGAUUUACAGAUAGAGGAAUAAGUGGAUGGAUGGGUGGAUGAUGGAUAGAUGGAUGGAUGGAUGGAUGUAUGGAUGGAUGGAUGGAUGAUGAAUGGCUAGAUUUACUAAUAGAUGGACAGGUGGGUGGACAGAUGGACAGGUGAAUGAAUGGACAGAUAGGUGGAUUUAUGAGUAGAAAACAGGCGGGUAGAUACAUUGAUGGGUUGCUAAAUGGCUGGGUGAAUGGUUUUUAAAGACUGGCUGGCUUGGUUUCAGAUUCGUAAGUUCCCAAGAAUCAGUGAUUUCAAAUAUUCUGUUUCUUGAUAUUUAUGCAAUGCCUAUGACUUGGGCUGUAAUAUACACUCACUAUAUAUUUGUAAUUUGCUUUUGAAUUGUGUGAGAAUAUGAGAAAAGACUAUAAACUGUGUAAGUGGUGGGCAAGGAGAUAACUGUUCACUUUUAAACACCGUUCUUUCCAUCCCGUCACUUUUCAUGAGCCUUGGUCUUCUCAGGAGCUACAUAAGUAGCACUUCCAACUCUUCCCAGAACUGUAAGCUCACCCAACACUAAGCAUGUGGCCGAGCAUACUGUAGCUGGUCUGCUGGAGCACUUAGGUUUGAUCACCACAAGUGUUGAACACUCCAAAGAAAUGAAGACCUGGUGUCUAACGAUAUGCCUUGUCAGUGGGGAAGCCAGGACUAACGCUCAGCUUCAGACUGUUCAUGUUGGACUUACUUCUUUCUGGGCGAGAUGACUGGCCUGCAGAGAGAACCCUGAUGCCUUGAAUGAGGCGGGCACAUUAUUCUAUGGAGCUGGGGAGCCAGUGGGAGAUUGUUUGCUUAGAAGAGACACAACUUUGCCUGAGCCUCACUGUUUGAAAUAACUGCUUAAGCCCUGGACUGUCAGCAGACAAGGACUAUCUGUGCUUUGCUAAGAGGCUUGUCCAUCUGUUUGUGUUUAGUGGAUUCACUGUCAGUAAAGAUUCCCUUGUGCUGGAGGGUGAUGGGAUAUAGAGAUGCAGGCAGUUAAUGCCUCCCAGGUAGAGACCGGCCUCUUGCAAGUCACUUUUGCCUCCUGCAGACUUAACUUCUCUGAAACAAAUUCUUGUUCUGGCCCUCUUUCAUGAAGGAUGGGGAGAUGUCAAAUGGUUGACAGGGGCCAGCCUUUGCAUUCACAGACUCGUAUUAGAGUGGAGGUGCCACAUCAUACCCGUGUAGAGAAGACCAAAAAGGGAAUGUUUUCUGGACAUCAACCAUACCAGAUCACCUGUAGCAAUAUGGAAGUGCAUUGACUAACACUCCUUCAGCUAGAACUUAGAAAUACACUUUUUACAUUGAGGAAGCCAAGGGUCAGAGGUUAUGCAUCCUGUUCAGUGUCUGACUGAUCAUUAGUCACUGUUAAAAUAAUUCCAGACUUUGUUACUUAAACAUGUGCCAGGGCCUCAAACCUAUACCCUUCUCUCAUCCCCAUUUUAAGGGGAAUAAAUAAAAUUCCAAUAACCCAAUUUGUCCCAGUAAUCAAGUGAACCCUCACCUUCCAGGUGUUGGCAGGAAGAAGGCCUGAAAUUUUGCACACAAGGAGGCUGUUUGCACCCAUGAUGCUAGUGGAUUCUGAAAUGACAAGCCUUUUGAACAUUUGCCAGUAUCUCAACCCUUCUAAUUAAAAUCACAUUAUCCAUGAUGAUUCUUAAUGAUAGCAUUUGUGAAGUUGGGAUGCUCUCUGCUCUCGACUUCAGUGUGAAAAUUUUCCAUCUGAACAGCACAUGUCGUGGCCUUGAUAAUGGGCUGGUGGAGAUUCUCCAUGGCCUGCUUCAGAAGUCUAUGCAUUUCCUCUGGUUCUUGAAACCUCUGCUUGGGGAGGCUCAGCCUGCCUAGCAAAUUGUUUGGUAGCCAUGUGUCAAAGGCACCUAUGAACUCUUUCUCAUUUAUUAUUUUAGUUGCUCUGGCCCUCUCCCUUCCAAGGUGCAGGUAUGAAGAAGUAAAUAGAUCAGUGUGUGCUGGACAGGGUUUUCCAUUAGGCUGCAGAGUCCGCCGGUGUGUCCUUUACCAUUAAGGAGACUCUUUGCAUCAGCAUGCUUUUUAAGCAACAGACCCUUCUUGAUUAAAACUUAGAGGAGACAGCUAGAGAGCAUCCUGAGUAAUGGAUCUAUGAAAAUUCACUGAUUUAUUAAUUUUACUUCUAAAUAAUGCUAAAAUCAAAAAGAAAAUAUGUUUUUUUAAGAAAUUUAAUAGCAUCCCUUUGGGUCAUAAUGUACAGUCCAGAGUACUGGUCAGGACUGUGAGUGUCAGGUUCAUAACAGAGGCCUGCCUCCUUAGUUCACUGGCCAAGAGCUGAUAUGACUAGUCCUUGCAUACCCUUCCCUCCCAUCUGGAUAAAUUCUGUGCUUAAAACGCUGGGCUUCUGACAUUCUCUGUACUCAAGCCUUUCUCAGCACCUAUGUGAAACGAAGGAAACUCCUUUGAGAAAAUGCCUCCAUAAGAUCAAGCUGUAGAGCUUUUCUUAGUGAAUGAUGGAGGAGAGCCUAGCCCAGUGUGGGUGGUGCCAUCCCUAGGGUAGUAGUCCUGGGUUCUAUUUUUUUUUUUACAGUAGACUGAGCAAGCCAUGAUGAGAAAACCAGUGCGCAGCACCCCUCAGGGGUGUCUGCAUCAGCUCCAGCCUUCAGAUUCUGCCCUGUUCUGACUUCCUCUAAUAAUGAACAGGAAUGUGGAAGUGUAAGGCAAAGAAACUCUUUCCCUCAUAUUUGCUUUUGGUCAUGGGGUCUCCUCAUAGCAAUAGUAAGCCUAACUAGGACCCCUUCUAUAGCCCCACCAUGCGAGAUCCCAUGGAUCUUUAAAAUGCAGCCUUUCUUCAAGCAAUUUUGGCUGCUAAUUCAGGCUAGACAAGCAACCUCUACAGUGCUUGCACUGCAGCCAGCAGAAAAUUCUCAUCUUGUUUUGCUUAUUUUUGCCACUGCUCAAUGGCCUGGACAGACUCAUCCUUUGGUAAUUGUUCAUGGAUUGAUUGGAUGGAUGGAUGGAUGGAUAGAUGGAUAGAUGGGAGUGGAAAGAACGGUUCCGGUAACUACAUUAGCUUCUACCUGAACUCCCAAGCCCUAUCCCCACAGUGGCCUGGAGCCCAGUGGUAGACAUGAUAUCUUAGCCCAUGUGAGUCUAAGACUCCAGUAUCCAUUAGUAGGAUGAGAGCUGAGCAGUUAGAAUCCAAAUGAUAAGGCAGUUGGUAAAAGCCAGAUUCUUCCUACAUCUGGAAAAUAUGGCAUGGCAACUCUCAAUGACCCACUUUCUGUACACUUUAAACUCUCAAGGGAACUUCCCAGCGGUUCUUUCACAGUUGGCAGCAUCUUGCAAAUUCUGGCUGACUGCUUUGGUUUCACAGCAACGUAAUGAAGCUGUCAGAUGCCAAGCUCUGGCAGUAGGCAGCCUUCGCUUGGGUUCCAGCUCUGCCAACUCCUAGUAUUCAACCUAGGCAAGUCAGCCAUCCGCUUUGAGGUUCUCUACUCCCCUGGAAAAUGAGGCCAUUGAAUGAGACAAUAAAGGGUACGUUUUGAAGCUGAUACUAUAUUCAAAUGAGGUUGCUGAAGGGUUGAAUGAAAGGCAGGGUGUCCAGACAUGGAGAGAGAUGCAGCUCUACAAGACAGUGCCAUAGAGCAAGACCUCAGGUAGAGAACACGAGCCCUUGAAAGCCCAUUAGCAGGGAUGUCCAACAGCAUGGCCCACUACAUGGUGGCCAAGGAUCACUAUGAACAUGGCCUAACACAAACACACAAACAUUCUUGAAAUAGGACUUCUUAACUCAGGUGCAGAGUUCUCAGGCAGGAACUCUGUAGAUGACAAUGCUGUAUAGUAUGUCAAAAGUCUCCUCUGCAGAUGGAUCCUCCCACUGGCUAAGCCUAUGCAGAAGCCAGAGGAAAAGUCCACUGGAGCAGGAAGGGUAGGGAAAGGAGCUGGAGGGCAGUGUGAGCCCUAGGGAACCAGCACACUCUGCCUAAAGAAGGCUCCCAGGCAGCUUCCUUUCUCCCUUAUCAACCUCUCCCCCACACCUGCACAGGAAAAGGGACCAAAGACAAGAUCAGAGAAUGAGGAGAGUUCUUUAUAGGGCUUCACAAGAGUAUGGUAAGGAUGAAGUUGAAAUGGAAAGAAAGAAUAAAGGAUUUUUAAUUGUGAUUAUCUGUGGAUUUCUUUUAUCCACCUUAUCUCUCUGCACCAGUAGCUGGGGUCAUUAGAAGCUCAAGCCUCCCCUAACUGUGGCUCUUAAAUGUGCUGAAUGCACUUCAAAGGUGCUUUUGUAAGGAGCUGUGUGCUGUCAUUUUUAAUUAAUUUUAGCUUUAUUUUUUCAUUUGAUCUGAUGGAGUCAAAUGAACUUUUAUUGCCCAGAUAUCCCUAACCAGUGAACUAGGUCAGCCUUUCCAGGAGUUCUUUGAAACUUUUUCACAUGUAUAAAUAACUUCUGCUGGCAGAGUCUGGGCUCUGCAGGAGACCUAGCUGCCCUGCAGGGGUAGAUAGGAGAUGAGAUCCACCCACUGGCUACUUCCAUCAGAGAGCCUGGCCCACCCACCUGAGCACUGGGCACUUACUGGGUGUUCAGUAGGGAAGGGAUCCCUGAGGCUGCCUGUGUCCCACAGGGAAAUAGCAUUGAGGACCGGAGGAGAAGAAAUUGCAUUUUUCUCCUGAAACUGCUUUCCGGUGGAGGACUGCAAUGUGCCAGUCUCUCUGUCGUGAUUUUCUGGAGCUUUCCUGCCCUCUGUGGUCACUUCUGAAGACGCUUCUUAAAACUGGUGGGUCUCACUUCCUAGACCCUUCCCACUCCUGUCCUAGAAGCCUAGGAAAACCUCUGUCAUCGGGAAGGUGCUGUCUCUCUAGGACUGGGAGGACUUUGCCUCUGUGUCUUAACCCUCUCCUAUCUCCUGCCUUAUCCCUGUUGCUUCUUAUAGAGAUUAUCCCGUCCCACUGAGAAACUCCCUUCCGGGGAGCUGCCCCCCAAACGGGCCCUCACCUCAUGAGUGUGUGUGUGUGUGUGUGUGUGUGUGUGUGUAUUCUUUUCCUACUCAUCUUCUUCUGUUUCACAUCCCCUGCUUGACCCUAGGACACAUAAUAUUGAACCUUUCAUGUUACAGCACAUUAUAACAUUUGUUAACCUUUUCCACCCCGUGCUAGGAUAUGAAAAAUGCACACAUAGUUUCAUUUCCCAAAUAACUCCUGUGAGGGGGAGGGGUGUCUAGUAGGAAAGUGCAGCUUUCUGAAGAUGUCCUGGCGCACAGGGUGACUUCCGCUCAGCCCCAUGUUUGCCUGUCUCCAGAGAUGACCGCCGCUUCUCCUUUUUCCAGGAAAACAGAAAGAAAAGCUUACACUGUAUUUUGUUUAUACCAGAGAGGUAAUUUUGUCCCCUGGCUUCUCUUAAUGAGGUGGGCGGGAGCUUGCUCCCCAGAGUUCAGGGACUCCUGUGAGCUGCUCCCUGCUUCCCCUUUGUGGGAAGGCACUUACAGCUUUUCUCUGCCCUCAGACAUGUGCAUAGUUCCACAAGCAGCUGUUGGAGACAACUCCUCAAUGCCCUCCUGUGUCUAUGUUCAUGUAUUUGGUGGGAACUGGCUGUAACUAUCAACUCAUGCCCUAUUAAUUCAAUGCAUUUUAGUGAGAAGAGAUAAAUUGGCCUGAAAAAAAUAAUUUCCCCAAUGGACAUCUCAUCCGUAGUGUGUGAGAAAACCCCUUCAAAAUAGGCAAGUCCUGGGAAUUAUCACGCCUCUGAAUGUUUGCCAACCUGAUAAGGAUUUAAAAAAAAUAAUAAUUUCUUUGUUGUUUUGAUCUGUAGUUCUUUAAUUAUGAAUGCAGCCAAAUAUCUUUUCAUAUGUUUAUUAGGAUGCCUGCAUUUGUUCUUCCCUGAAUACAUUUAUAUUCUUCGUUUUGUUUCUACCGGAAAUAAGUUUUAAAUUACUUUGUGACAUCAAAUGCAGGAUCCAAAUCACAAGCAUUUUAAUGUUAUCAUCAAAUGUAUUUUGGCUUUAGUUGUAGAUGCCAAACUGAAAGGGCGGGAGGAGGGCCUAGAUGUCUCUAUCUCCUGCUGCUGCCACAGGGAACCCUCUGCAACCUCUUAGAAUGGCUUGUCACACCCAAACUUGGUAGAACAAGACGAUGAAUUAUUUAGGAUGCUGUUGGUUCCAACGGGAAGCUCUACCCAUCAGACCAUUCCCUGGCAGCUGCUAAGUAGCAGGCGCUAAGGCACGGAUCAGCUGUGGGAGUCCGUGUCGUCCAUUUAGAUGAGGACUCCGUCAACUGCCCAUUGAGAACCUCUAGGGGUCACAUCCUUGACACCAUCUGCUGGACCAUGAAGAUCACCAGCCUGCCAAGAAGCCUGACAGGCUGUGGUUAUUUUCCACUCCAGUGCAGUGUGUUUUUCUUUCCCCUGGCUUGAAGGGGAUUCAUUUUCUGAGUAGGCUUUUUGGGCUGUAGUCAUCUCGUAAGGGGAAAUGGAUCUCUCAGGGGACUUUGGUAUGUUGGGCCAGACCUCAUGCGCUCAAGCCCUGAGUGUGAGCUUUUGUGUCUGCAGUGAUGUUUUGGUCUUUUGGAGUUAUUAUCCAUUCAUCCAUCUAUUCUACAACAAAUGUGCUGAGCUGCAGUUUGCUAAUACAUUAAAAAUUCAGGCUUUAGGUGGCCAUCAAGAUGGCCAAGUAGGAAAGAGCACUUGUUGCCAAGUGUUAUGGCUUGAGUUCGCUUCCUAGAACCCACAUGAUGGAAGGAGAAAACUGAGAACACAUAUGCGUCUGCGCACGCACACAUGCAGACACACAGACAUGCACACACACGCAGUCUGUGUGCAUUAAUUGAGUGGCAUUGAGCAAAUUGCACUGUUGCAUUGUUGCUUAAAAUACAAAAAGAAAUAAAUAAAAUGUUGUCAGCAAACUCCACUCUCAGAAUUAUGAAGUUUGUUGAGCUAAUCAGCAAUUGUCAAAGUCUAGCUGCCUUACUGAGCCACCUCAAAAUACAGGUACUUAAAAUAAUCAUUUCUUCCUGCACUAUGCCUGAGUCUUGGCUAGGACCUGCUGAUCUAAACCAGGCUUGGCCAGGGCCACCUCUAAUCCGCAAGGGAGAUCCAGCUCUGUCCAGGAAUCCCUAUCCCUCUUGGACUAGUGGGACAGCUGGGGCAUGCAGAUUUCACUGGAAAAGAAAAGAUAUAUUAUAUCAGUACAUCUGUUAGUGCCCUAUUGGCCAGAGGAGGUCACCUGAGCAGUAUGGAGUAGAGAAGUACAUUCCAGUGUCAAUGGGAAGUGCUGGGAGUCAAGGGUUCAAGGCCGGAGGAGAAGCUGUAGAGGACCACCACUGCCAACCUGUGCUGCUGCAGGUGCGGGCCCCUCAGUGCUCUAGCUUCCUCGCCCACACCAGAGAGAAAUCCUUGACAGCAUCACUCUUCAAAGAUGGCUGCUCUGUCUUGUACCCAUUCUGAUCCACAGCUUCUCUUCGUUUCUGAGUUCUUAAGAGUAUGAGAUGGACGCAAUACGCAGGUUCUCAGUGUAUACCCUCACGUAAUCCGUCAGUCUGUGCGCUGGCUGCCCUUACCUCUACCUCAUUACUUUGUAUUUCACAGAGCUGUUGCAUCUUCUGUCUGUGUCUGUUGCUUUGUGCUACAUUAUGGGAAUUUUACGCAAACCUAAUUAAAACUUCUAUACAUGUACCUCUACCUACUAAGCCAUCUCAGCAGCCACAAUUUCAUUAAGCCUCUGAAGUUUAAUAUAAAUGGAGCUUUUUUUUUAAAAAAAAAAAUCUCUUGACUUUUACUUAUUUAUGUUUCCAGCCUGCCUUUAUGUCUUUAUAGUUAAAAGAAUAUAAUGCUGUUCCUGUAAUAUAAAUUUUAUCCCUUCACUUCUCUUCUUACUCCAUUAACUACAUCUAUAAUCUAUCAAAUUAUUUAGUAUUUCAAGGGUGUGUGCUCUCAUUGUUGUGGAUGCUAAUAAGAUAUGCCUGGGUGAGUUGUAAUUUUCUGUAAGCUCAUUCCCGAUGACGUGUUUCUUCUUCUUUUAGUAUUUAUUGUUGUUUCCAUCCCCUCCCCACCCCCAUGAGUUUUACUGUAUUCAGUGUUGCCGAAAGGCCUCUGCAGAACCUAUGAUUUGCCAUGCGCCUCCUACCUACCAACCACCCCGGAGGACAUGCUGGCUUCUGGCCAGGUUUCACAUUAACUUUUCAGCGUAGAAACCCAGCAACCCAUCAGUGGUGUGAACCUAAAUUUCAUGUUUGUAUGUAGCAGAGGUCUCAUUCUUCUAAUCAUGAGAUUUGUUUUUUCUUUCCUCCCCAAAUCCCCCAGCAGACACAAGCUUUUUUGGUCUCCUGUGUAGCUGGCUGGACAGAAGUCUCAUCAUUGGAAGAAACCCCUCUAGGCACAGGUUUUAGGCAGCAGUCAGUCAGGAACUCCAUUCUAACUCUUUGCCUCCGGUGGCCUGUGUGUGUGUCCUAUUUCCCUGCCUAAGCUAGCAGCCCUCAGCUGGUAAGGUCUCUCUGUCUUGUACAAUUCUGAGCCACUGCAGCUCCUGCCUUUUCACUUGAUACUCUAGUAAAUAGUUCUUAUUUGAUUUUUUUCUUUCUAUUUCAUUUUGUCCCAAGUUUUAUAAGGCUUAAUAGGAAAGAAAAUCCAUGGAUUCAGCUUUCAGUAUUGGCCAGAGCCACAAGUCUGGCACUUACAGGUCCUCAACAGGACACUGGGGUUCCUUGUGUUUUAAGCUUCUUCCCAAGAUGUGCCCCCCCCACAUGUUUUCAUUAAGUAACUCACUAGCUAGGUGCCUGCUGGAUUUAAAAAGCAAUUGAGAAUUUAAGCUGUGCCCAGCAAGUAACUGUCUUGAGUUACCUUCUAUUGACUCUUGUAAUAAUUAGAAUUUCAAUUAUUCAUUUUCAAUUAGAAGUGUGGCAUAAUCAUCACGAAUGUCAUUAAGAAAUUUAAUUGUAUCUAAUGUUGGAUUGAUAGAAGGAACGUUUCCUAGGAAAACAGACAUCCUUAAUUAGAAGAGAAAGAGUUACAGAAGAACUUUUGAAAGAUGUUGAGAGAAAUAGAAGACGGCAGCUUGGGCUUUAGUGGGUUGAGAAUGUGUGGUUUAGUGCUCCAUUCAUAGCAAAUACCUCCAAGCUAACCUCUGCAGGAAUGAAAAUCACCAGAUGUCAGUUCAAAUUCUAGCUCUACCAUGUACCUCGAUGGGCGUAAUGGAUACAAUGGUGCCUGCCCUGUGCCCGAUGCCCCGCUUAAUUCUAUGCUUGGAUUGUUUCAUUUAGUCUCACAGCCAACUUUCUAGGUAUUUCCUUGGAAUGGAAAUUGGUGCAGGGCACAAGCAGGGAUCUGGGAGCCGAGUGAGUGUUUAUGUAAGGGAUGACUAAAGCCAGUCUGCUGCAGAGAGUAGCCAGUUACUCCACUCCUACCUGGUGGGAGUGACCAGAGCCUCACACACUUCUCCUGAUUGCAUCUUCUGAACCAGCCCCUGGGAGUGCUCCUGUUCUAGUCUUGAGAAGCUAGCUCAGAGGACAGAGGUAAGCCAUCCAGGACUCGGGGUUACGGAGUGGGGGUUCUGCAAUCUAAACCUAUGCCCUCUGUCUUGGGCUUAUUGACCUUGUAUAGAAAGAAAUGAAAGAAAUUUUCAAUUUCCCAAAUAAAUAAAGUGUGUGGAAUCAUGGGUCUAUUUAGGCGAC